UAAUAACCUGAAAAUUCCUGCCUCUGGUGA
RNAcentral lists this non-coding RNA (30 nucleotides) under Rattus norvegicus (Norway rat). The record is from RNAcentral. Lineage: Eukaryota; Metazoa; Chordata; Mammalia; Rodentia; Muridae.